This 257-nucleotide unclassified non-coding RNA is filed under the name Hevea brasiliensis (rubber tree). Lineage: Eukaryota; Viridiplantae; Streptophyta; Magnoliopsida; Malpighiales; Euphorbiaceae. The record is from RNAcentral.
GGAAGCUGUUGCGAUGCGUUCGAAGGUCCAGAAGGAACUUAUGUUGAAGGAGAAGGACCGCAAGGAGCAGGAGUUGCGCGCUUUGGCACAGAAGGCAAGGUCGGAGAGGACUGGAGUUGCGGUACCAGCUCCUGCUGCUCCUGUCCCGGCUCGAUACGAUAGGAUUAUGACUGAUGAAGCUGAUGUUGGAGUGGUGCGCCAUGAGCAGCACAAGGAGACCAGAGAGGAUAGGGAGGAGAAGCUGGAGCGCGACAAAA